UACGGAGGGGGCAAGCGUUAUUCGGAAUUAUUGGGCGUAAAGGGCGCGUAGGCGGCUAGAUGUGUCAAAGGUGAAAUCCCUCGGCUCAACUGAGGAACUGCCUUUGAAACUGUCUGGCUUGAGGCCGGGAGAGGGUAGCGGAAUUCCCAGUGUAGCGGUGAAAUGCGAAGAUAUUGGGAGGAACACCAGUGGCGAAGGCGGCUACCUGGACCGGUUCUGACGCUGAGGCGCGAAAGCGUGGGUAGCAAACGGG
This 253-nucleotide ribosomal RNA is filed under the name uncultured bacterium. RNAcentral's name for it is "partial 16S ribosomal RNA". It matches the Rfam family "Bacterial small subunit ribosomal RNA", at positions 524 to 776 of the family's 1533-position model. The record is from RNAcentral.